GACGAACGCUGGCGGCGUGCUUAACACAUGCAAGUCGAACGGAAAGGCCCUGCUUUUGUGGGGUGCUCGAGUGGCGAACGGGUGAGUAACACGUGAGUAACCUGCCCUUGACUUUGGGAUAACUUCAGGAAACUGGGGCUAAUACCGGAUAGGAGAUCCUGCUGCAUGGUGGGGGUUGGAAAGUUUCGGCGGUUGGGGAUGGACUCGCGGCUUAUCAGCUUGUUGGUGGGGUAGUGGCUUACCAAGGCUUUGACGGAUAGCCGGCCUGAGAGGGUGACCGGCCACAUUGGGACUGAGAUACGCACCAGACUCCUACGGGAGACAGCAGUCGGGAAUAUUGCACAAUGGGACGAAGCCUGAUGCAGCAACGCCGCGUGCGGGAUGACGGCCUUCUGGUUGUAAACCGCUUUCGCCUGUUACGAAGCGUGAGUGACGGUAAUGAGUAAAGAAGCACCGGCUAACUACGUG
Molecule: ribosomal RNA, 468 nt
Filed under: uncultured bacterium
Lineage: Bacteria
Description: partial 16S ribosomal RNA
Rfam family: Bacterial small subunit ribosomal RNA
Source: RNAcentral